This 425-nucleotide ribosomal RNA is filed under the name uncultured bacterium. Its description in RNAcentral is "partial 16S ribosomal RNA". It matches the Rfam family "Bacterial small subunit ribosomal RNA", at positions 354 to 796 of the family's 1533-position model. The record is from RNAcentral.
GUGGGGAAUAUUGGACAAUGGGCGCAAGCCUGAUCCAGCCAUGCCGCGUGAGUGAUGAAGGCCCUAGGGUUGUAAAGCUCUUUCACCGAUGAAGAUAAUGACGGUAGUCGGAGAAGAAGCCCCGGCUAACUUCGUGCCAGCAGCCGCGGUAAUACGAAGGGGGCUAGCGUUGUUCGGAAUUACUGGGCGUAAAGCGCACGUAGGCGGAUAUUUAAGUCAGGGGUGAAAUCCCAGAGCUCAACUCUGGAACUGCCUUAGAUACUGGGUAUCUCGAGUAUGGAAGAGGUGGGUGGAAUUCCGAGUGUAGAGGUGAAAUUCGUAGAUAUUCGGAGGAACACCAGUGGCGAAGGCGGCUCACUGGUCCAUUACUGACGCUGAGGUGCGAAAGCGUGGGGAGCAAACAGGAUUAGAUACCCGAGUAGUCC